This 492-nucleotide ribosomal RNA is filed under the name uncultured bacterium. RNAcentral's name for it is "partial 16S ribosomal RNA". It matches the Rfam family "Bacterial small subunit ribosomal RNA", at positions 30 to 507 of the family's 1533-position model. The record is from RNAcentral.
AUUGAACGCUGGCGGCAGGCCUAACACAUGCAAGUCGAGCGGUAACAGAAAGAAAGCUUGCUUUCUUUGCUGACGAGCGGCGGACGGGUGAGUAAUGCCUGGGAAUAUACCCUGAUGUGGGGGAUAACUAUUGGAAACGAUAGCUAAUACCGCAUAAUCUCUUCGGAGCAAAGAGGGGGACCUUCGGGCCUCUCGCGUCAGGAUUAGCCCAGGUGGGAUUAGCUAGUUGGUGGGGUAAUGGCUCACCAAGGCGACGAUCCCUAGCUGGUCUGAGAGGAUGAUCAGCCACACUGUAACUGAGACACGGUCCAGACUCCUACGGGAGGCAGCAGUGGGGAAUAUUGCACAAUGGGGGAAACCCUGAUGCAGCCAUGCCGCGUGUAUGAAGAAGGCCUUCGGGUUGUAAAGUACUUUCAGUUGUGAGGAAGGCGUUGGAGUUAAUAGCUUCAGCGCUUGACGUUAGCAACAGAAGAAGCACCGGCUAACUCCGUG